AAAGUCGUAACAAGGUUUCCGUAGGUGAACCUGCGGAAGGAUCAUUAACACGUAUCCACGUUAUAAACCAACUUUACCACGAACGUUUCUCCCCUUAUUGACGACUUCUUCGUGUUCAACUGAUUUCUCAUGGGUUACUUUCGGGUAGCAGAUCAGGCUGAACUAUUCAUCCUUGAGAUGAUGCGAAGAGACUGACAAUUUGGGCUUUCUCAUCACUCUAUUAACCAUCCAUUUGGGUUGGUAGUUUGAUACCCAUACCAUUUUCACCACAUUUAGCAAGUGUUGGCAUUUUUACAUUCUUGGAGAGAAAUCUCUAUGGAAUUCUAAGAUUUAUCUUAACUAAGCACAACUCUUAGCAAUGGAUAUCUUGGUUCUC
RNAcentral lists this unclassified non-coding RNA (376 nucleotides) under Basidiomycota sp. Its description in RNAcentral is "partial contains small subunit ribosomal RNA, internal transcribed spacer 1, and 5.8S ribosomal RNA". The stretch from base 1 to 47 matches the Rfam family "Eukaryotic small subunit ribosomal RNA", at positions 1785 to 1831 of the family's 1831-position model. The record is from RNAcentral. Lineage: Eukaryota; Fungi; Basidiomycota.